This 1479-nucleotide ribosomal RNA is filed under the name Triticum aestivum (bread wheat). Its description in RNAcentral is "partial small subunit ribosomal RNA". The record is from RNAcentral. Lineage: Eukaryota; Viridiplantae; Streptophyta; Magnoliopsida; Poales; Poaceae.
AUGGAUAUCUCCACAGUUUCUGUCCGUCCCUCCACCAUAAUCGGCCCACGCGCCGCCGCCGACUGCACCUCCCUGCGCCCCGGCUAUCCCGACUGGGUCUUACUCAACAAGACGGCGCGCAUCUCCGACCAACGGAACGCGACCACCGCCUUGUGCCGCACGAGGGAGGGCCAAGCCGUCGCGGUGUCCUUCUGGCUCGUCGACCCGCCCGCCGUCUCCUACUUCUCCGUCCACUGCCCUGGUCUGGAAGACGACGAUUUCUCCGACACCCCGCCCUUCCUUCUCUGCGCCGAGGGAGCCUUCGUCCUCUUCUGCGUCACCCUCGAUGACUCCGUCUACCACUUCGUCUACUCCGCCCGAGGAAUCCCCGGCGGGAGGCCGUCGCUGCACCGUCUCCCGGACCCGAAACCCAGGGUCGAAGCCUUCAUGAGCCAGCAAUUUGGCCUCUUGCCUUGCGGUAACGAGCACUAUGCUGUGGCAUUCCUCCAUCACCAGUGGGAAUCUAGUGACCAGGCUUGGCAUUAUUAUGCCUACAUCUUCUCCUCGGAGACAAAGGCAUGGAAGAGAAGUAAGGAGGCCUUGCUCUACAUAUCCAAGUCUGAUCAGUUACUGUUUGAUAGACAUGCCAGCUCCAAGCAGAUCACUGUCAGGGAAAGCGCAUUGGGAUGGGUUGAUCUCUUGCGUGGUAUUCUUCUUCUUAGCAACCUGUUCGACGAGCGUCCUGUCAUCACAUACAUACCGUUACCUAAAUUAAAGGCUUGCAUCACCGAUAGGAAUGGUUAUCCUUCCUACGCGCCGGAAUUCUUCUGCGAUAUAACAUGCUGCGAUGAUCUGAUCAAGUUUGUCGAGAUAAAAUUCGAUGAACCGAAUUGCAGGGCCAAUGGUAAAGCAUGGAAGGCCACCACAUGGAACAGGAAGGUCUCUUGGGAUGAUUGGGGCAGGUGCUCCACAGUUGAUGUUGCUGAAAUCUCGGUUGACCCAAGUUAUUUGUCAUUGUUGCCUGAGCUUUUGAAUGAUGAAACCAAACAGCUGGAAAUUAAGAACCUGUAUUUCCUUAACCCCACCCUGAGUGUGGACGACGACGAUCUCCUUUACAUGAUGGGCAAGGUGAACGAGGAAGACGACACAGCUUGGGUAGUCGUUGUUGACAUGAAACGUGCGGCUCUGGAGGCAUUGGUCCCGGUUUCUAUCCAACCGUCAUACACCGUUACGAUGUACUGUCCGUGCACCUUCCCCAAGUACUACCUCAAUAUAACACCAGACAUUGGCAGUCCAGUUGAGAAGGAUAAAUCCGAUAAAUGGCCGCAAGGGAGACCCAGCCCCAAUAACUCUGGAAGUGUGCAGAGGAAGAGGAGGAGGAAGAAGAAGCAGGCACGGGCUGCGGAUUGCUGGUUGGAACAGCCAUAUUUGCUGUAUUUUGUUGGCUGCGUAUUGAUUGCGAUCUUCGUAAAAGUGUUCUUUCAUCUGUCUGGAAUGUAA